Molecule: non-coding RNA, 31341 nt
Organism: Rattus norvegicus (Norway rat)
Lineage: Eukaryota; Metazoa; Chordata; Mammalia; Rodentia; Muridae
Source: RefSeq, a predicted model, not a curated record
AGGACAGGAAGAAUGCAGGAUGUGACAAUGAGCUGUGUGUGGGGCUGGGCACACACACAAUGGGCAAACAUUGAGUAGAGACGGGGAGACUGAAAUGUCAGUAACAGGCGACAGCACUCUUCAGCACUCUUCGGUUUCUUCUAAACUGCACUGAGGUUCAUGGUUCUGAACACUUGGAGUCUGAGAGAUGGGCCUUGAGGAUGACGUCCCAGCCUCCUGACCCACAGGGGUGAUGCCAUACACUCCCGCCACCACCAAGAGAGCCCAGCUGCCAUGAACUGCACUGUGCUUUCCCAGCCAUGAUGGAAUAUUCCUAACUGCAGCCUAAAAAGGACCAGCCUACACCCAAAAGGUGAAAAGAAGCAAUGUGCCUAAGGACAAGAUAUGAAGGUGCCCCUUCAGUGAGGUGUCAGUCAGCUAAGCUGGCCUUGGCGCUUUUGCAGCUAGACCACGUUGUGGCUUCUUGUCUACUCCUGAUGUCUUCUUCCUGCCGUGAUUGCUCCUGGGCUGGUUGGUCGACCACUUGACUCCUUCCACAACCCCAUUAGACUGGAGUGACUUGGGGUGUCAAACUCUACCAGGAGUGACUGGGGCACCUUCUCGGGCCCCUUGGGAGCUGGGGACCUGCCAUGUGGUCAGCUGAGAUGCAUCUGGCUGCCACGUUGCUUUCAUAGCUUGCCUGCCAGCCCCCCAGCUCUCUGGGUCACUCCUCUUCUGAUGUUGCCACCAUACUCGGCUCAGUUACCACGCUACUGGAGGUUACCAGCUCAGCCCACACUACUGGAGGAUAAGGUGGAGUCACGAUGGAGGUGGCCUCACUCCUCAUCGCUGAGACCAGUGGAUUAUUCUAGGCUGAAUUUAUCCUGGAGGCCAGAUCCCCACUACCGAGAUCCAGCGUGUGGACUGAGCUGCAAAGCCCUGAUUUCUAUUCAGUCUCCGGUGUGUGUUUCCCAGUGUGCUGUAGCACCAUAGGCCCAGCAGAGAUGUUCAGCAUGACAGAUUUCCUCCAGUCAUUUCUUUAGUGCACCCCAUGAAUUGUUUAAUUAAACAGUACUGUAAGUUAUUUUUCCAUUGUGUGGAACUAUUGAUUUGAACUGAAGUAUGUGAUCUAUUCUUGUUCUACGUCUACUUCAGAAGAAGGUAUUUUCUCUCAUUAGAGUGUGGAAUCUAACAUUUGUGUGAAAGGGCUACUUUCUGCUUAUGAUUUUGUAGCCUUGCCUCUUUGCUCUAUUGGAUCCAUGGUUCAAUAUUAUCUGAGACAGAUGUGUCAGAUAUAUAUAGAUAUAUAGAUAUAUGUAUAGAUAUAUACAUAUCUUCUUACUUCUUACUGGGAUAUUUGCUGCCUAGAUUGAUAAAUCUUCAUGUGAAAAUAGCUUUUAGAAUUACACCAUAUUCUUUGCCUCACUGAGUGGCUUUUGGACUAAAGUCUAUUUUGAUAUCAAGAUUAUGAUCUAUGGUGUGUUUCUUUCCUUCCUUCCUUCCUUCCUUCCUUCCUUCCUUUCUUCUGUCUUUUUUCUCCUUCCUUCCUUCCUUCCUUCCUUCCUUUCCAGGCUUGGCACAUUUUAAUCACUCCUUAGUUUUAUAAUUAGUCACUAAAAGCAUAUCUCAUGUAUAUACUACAGAGUUAGGUUUAUUCUGUGUAGAAACUUUAAAAUAUUUUACACUAAACAUUUUAGCUUAUUUCUAUUUGCUGAUAUGACUAUUUAAUUUCAAUUCUGCCUUAAUAUAUAUUAAUUUAUGAUUAACAUGUAUACAUUUCUAUCUAUCUAUCUAUCUAUCUAUUACUUUACUGUUUCUCUUUUGUAUUUUACCUUCUUUAAAAAGUUUUAAAAAUACGUAUUUAUAUUUAUUUCAUGUGUAUAUGUUUUUUCAUGUGUAUAUGUUUUGCCUGUAUAAAUGUGUAUGCACUACAUGUGUGUGCAGUGCCCACGGAGGCCUCAAGAGGGCCCCGGGCCCUCACAAAGCAGUUACAGGUGGUUCUGAGCUGCAACAUGGUACUGGGAACUGAAUUUGCAUCCUCUGUGUGAGGAGAUGGUGCUCUUAACUGCUGUCCAGCCUUAUUAAACCUUAUUUUAUUUUGUUUUUUAAGUAUUUGAGUAUUUAAAAAAAUUUAAAGUGUUUCCCAGGUGAUCAUGUUUAUCUUAGUAUAUUUUAUAGUAAACAGUCAGUAAUUUUAUUUUACUCUCUGUUUUUCCGUGUGGAAUUGUUUGGCUAACUGUCUCUCAAGGCUUUUGUGGGGAGUCCUUUGUAGACAUCAUGUAGAUAGCAGGGAGGCGACAGAGCAACUUGAUCUUUAGGCUCUAAGAGUUUUAUAUGAUCAGGCCAGAAAAUCACAAUUCUGAGUCAUUUUUCUCCUCUUUGGUCUUCUGUGCAUGGAAAUAUUAACCAGAUUAUCUUCAUAAACACUGGUUUGCUUCCUUUUUGUUUUAGACCAACAUGUGUUGAUUAUAAAUUCCACCCUCUUUCUAUUCACCCUUCCACACUCUUCCCAACCUCUGUAAGUCACAAUGUUACUUCAUAUUGAACUUUCAGCUUUCAUAUACGAGAGAAGCAUGUAGCAUUCGUUUUUCCGUAUCUGGAUUAAUUCAGUUAACACAAUGUUCUCCAGUUACAUCUAUCUGCUGCUGCAGAUGAGGGCUUCAUUUUUCCUGGCCGAGUAAUACUCCAUUGUAUAUAUACACCACAGUUUCUGUAUCCACUCAUUUGCUUCUAGCCUUGGGGGCUGGUGCCAUAUCUUUGCUGUUACAAAUAAUUGACUAGAAUAUAUAAACAACUCAGAAAACUGCAACAAAAAAUUCCUAGCAAUCCAAUUAACAGUGGGAAUAGAUUCUUAAAACAAAAUUCAAGUGGCUAUUUUUUAGCAAGUAUACAAAAAGUGUUGCAUAUCAUUUACUACUAAGGAGACACAACCCUAACUACAAGACAGCAUCUUAGACUCUGCUGAGUACCUUCUAUUUUAGUUUUGUUUUCUGAUACUGUUUUGUUUUUCUUACCUUCCUUUUUUUUCUUUCUGAGCCCAUGGUCCAUACAGUGACUUAGAUGCAGACUCCCAAGGAUUCUGUGAAUUCUUUAACACUUUCCUAGUCCCCUUAUGAGGUACUGAAGUUGCUAUCAUAAUGUUUUAAUUUGCUAUGCUUGAGAAUAUUUCUUCCUAUAAAAGUAUCUGCCCAUUAGGGUUUCGAAAAGAGGAAGUGAAAUGUAGCUCUCAGGUACUUGGGAUAGAGAUUACCAAUGUUCCGUAAAGAGCCCGGGGGUCAGGUCAGUACCUUCAGCGUUUUGAGCUAUGUGUGCCUUGCCACAACCAUUUUAAUAGAAAAUAGCUAUAAUGAUAUUUAAAUAAAUGAGCAUGACUGUGUGUCUCGAUCAAAAUUUAUAAACAGAACCAGGCAUGGAAUAUAAUUUAAUGUUUAAUUUAAGCAAAGUGUGACACAGGAUAAGCUAUACAUAACUCUUGAUAAAUAAGAAUACAGCAAAGAUGAAACGCUAUUUUUAAAGAUGAUUGUUUAAGACACACUUAUGCCAUGCCUUUGUCAGUAAACAGGGUGAGCUCUGGAUGGACAUAGGUUAAGCAUGCAGACAGGAAUACAUAGAAACACAUGUACAUACCUGCCACAUUCACGUACUCCUCCACAUAGACUUUGUUCACACUUAAGAUUCAGUGGAGCUAUGUAUUUCAAUUUUUAUUUAUUAAUACUUUGCUUUCUGAUAUCUAUCUAUCUAUCUAUCUAUCUAUCUAUCUAUCUAUCUAUCUAUCUCCUGAUAACUUUCUCUCUUUCUUUCUCUCUCUCUCUUUCUCUCUGAGACUAUCUAUCUCCUGAUAACUUACUCUCUGUCUCUGUCUCUGUCUCUGUCUCUGUCUCUGUCUUUCUCUCUCUCUCUCUCUCUCUCUCUCUCUCUGAGACUAUCUAUCUAUCUAUCUAUCUAUCUAUCUAUCUAUCUAUCUAUCUAUCUGACCAAAUUUGGCUUCACUGUCACCGUCCUCCUGAAUGCUGAGAUUGCAAAUCCUUGCCACCACACCACUGUUUCAUUUCUCACUGAUGGUCCCUUGCCACCAGGAACUUGCUGGUUGAGAUCCCCACUUGGCUUAGUGUGCCUGGGAAAGUCAAACAUUUCAUGGUGUCUGAGCACAUGCCCGGCUGCUGCACACAGACAAGGAACGGCUAAGGCUCCCGUCAAUGGUGUCUUGAUUGGCUCUGUCUUUGAUUACUGUUUUACAAAUGGGAACAAAGCUUGUGUGCUCAUAUUCGGUGUCAUUUUUGUACACAUGUAGGUGUUGUAGUGCCUCGAGGCUUUUCUAGAUCACUUUGAUGCUUUAUGUCAGGUGUUGGGUGGGGCCUAUCCCCUUCACAGUGUCUUUGGAAUCCUCUUUGGAUUGGGAAUCAUGUGCAGAUUAGUAUGAGAAGCAAAAGACGGUGACUAAGUGGGCGGUGUCUCCAGUGUGGCGGCUCCCAGGCUGGCAAGGUGCAUGGUUGCACACAUAGACACCAUCAGCUCCCAUAGAGUAAUGGAUUGGAAUUAGGAAGGAGUCAGGGAGGGCUCGGAAGAGGGUCCAGUUGAUAAAGAGCUUGCUAUACAAACAUGAAGACCCAACUGAUUGAAAAAGCCACCUGUGGUGGCAUGUGCUUGUAAUUUCAGAGCUGAGGAGGCAGAGGCAGGCAGAUCCCUGGGGCUCUCUGGCCAGCCAGCCCAACCUACUUGGUGUACAUCAGUGAGAGAUCCUGUCUCAAAAAAACAAGGUAGACAUGGGCCCAGUGACACUUGGGAUUGGCCCCUGGUCUCCAUGUGCACACAUGGCGCACACACACACACACACACACACACACACACACACACACACACACACACACACACACUUUGUUCUCCACCAGGUGCUGCUCUGAAUGCAGGUGGGAGCUGAUUAAUGCCCUUGGGUAACCCUGUGGCAUUGAUGCUGCUGAUGACAAGGAAGGAUAAUUAGUGUUUUUCCAGGUGUCCGACCCUCGGACAGAAGGAGGAGGCCGGAUUUGUGCCAUGAGAUGAUCAGUUGGUGCCACCUGGGGACUUGAAUUUCUAAGUUUCUUUUGGCUUCCUGCUGGUUUUUGCAGUCCCACCUGCCUUGGGAAUGUCUUGGCUUCUCAGGUUGCAGUCAGGCAGGCCCUGACACAGCAGGAAGAUUUGCUGACUGUAAUCAGCCCGUGAAACAGCUGUUCAUGAAGGAAGCUGAUGGUUCCGCUUCCCCUCUGCUCGCCCGCCCUGCGCUGAAUGAGGCGCCCAUUCAGGAGUAGCGGAGAUGCGCACCCCUCCCCAGCACGAAAGUAAAAUUAAAGCAAUGUAACGUUUUUCCCCAGUCACACUCUGGUUGAAAAGAUGAAUCACCGUCCCAUUUGUGUACUCAGAGGCAUCUAGUGAGGGCCGAGCUGGCUUGCAGACUAAUUCUCUUCAGAAAUUGUGCCUUGAUAACAGAUGGAUAUCGUCCUGUGUGCUUGGCAAAAUGGUACCCAUCCUGCUGACCUAGAGGAAACGUGAAUUGCUGUUUUCCUGGAAUAUUAGUGCUGAGGUUUUAUUUACCUUGAAUCAAAUGGCCACAUAUUAUCACAGGUUACCUAAUGCUGCAUUGGGGCUUAAGUAAGCCUCUGUGAUGUCCUAAAAACAAUAUAUGCUCUCUCUUUAAUCAAUUUCAAACCAAACAAGGUUGCCAUUUGAGACCUCCUAGGGCUUGGGUUGUUUUUGAGUAGAUGAGAGCUGCAACAGAGUCAAGAACAUGAAAAGACCUUGGGAAACUUAACUCACUCCUGCUUAGCUUUCUGGUGGCUGGGGUAGAGUGUGAGGUAGAAGCUUCUGCUCUAGCAGCAGCAGCACUCAACACGUGGGGCGUGACCCCUUUGGGGGCCAAAUGAACCUUUCACGGGGGUCUCACAUCAGAAAUCCUGCAGAUCAGAUAGUUACAUUAUGAUUCCUAACUAGCAAAAUGACAGUUAUGAAGUAGCAACGAAAUGAUUUUAUGGUUGGGGGUCACCAACAGUGUGAGGAACUGUAUUAAAGGGUCAGAGUAUUAGGAAGAUUGAGAAUCACUGUGCUACAGGAACCAUAUUUAAGGGCUCACUGGUAGUGCACCUAGUGUGCUGGAAGCUCUGGGCUUGAUCCCUAGCACUGCCCACAUAGAAAAGAGUCAGCCCCCAGUGCCAGCUAUGGAAAAGGACUAACUGGUGGACUAUUUUAUUGAACUUUAGAUAAGACUUUGGGAAGAUUAUUCAUAUCCAUCUUUAUUAAGACAGAGUGACUGCUGUUAGCCAAUUAAAAUAUCGGAUAUUUAUUUCUUUGCCUUUGGGGCCAGUAGUUUACACGAUAAGAUGCGGUUUAAAGAAGGGCUUGAAGGGCUCUGGGCCUCCUGUGUCUUUGUUUCCUCUAUUUCAGAGGGCGUGGCUCAGCUCAGAAAGCUUCAGGCUUCAUCAUGGUUCUAUUUCCUGGGUCAUCUCAUUUGUCCCCUUCCAGGGGACCUGUGGGCUCUCUGAAUUAGUCCGACCUUGUGGUUAUGCAGGUAAAAGCCCCUGCUGUAUCAUCGCCUUCAGGGUUUUAAUUCACUCUGGCUGCCGUUUCCGCUUGGUGUUUCACCCUCUCCCAAUCACCUUCUUGGGUGCUAUACUGUAACAUACGAUUGGAGCGUCCCCUCUGAAGUCCUUGUUGAAUCUGAGUGUCACUGAUGGUCUGAUGGUUUGGGAGGCUGGACCCUUUAAGAGUGGAUUAGGUCUCGGGGGUUCCACCCUCCUGAGUGGGUUAACAGAAUUGUCUUGAGAGUGGGUUCAUCCUAGUAGAGUUAUUGUGAGAGUAGUUCUGCUGGAGAAGCAGCCCUCUGUUGUUCCACAUGCACUCACUUUCCUGGGCUGUAAGAAGCUGUAAGAAGCCCUUACUUAACACUGGCACCUUGACAUCCGAGUUCCCAGGCCCUACCACUGUGGGGACAAUUCUCUUUUUUCUUUAUUAGGUUACAGGUUCCUUAUAUUCCUUUUUUUUUUUUCCGGAGCUGGGGACUGAACCCAGGGCCUUGCGCUUGCCUAGCAAGCACUCUACCACUGAGCUAAAUCCCCAACCCCCUUAUAUUCCUUUAUAACAACACUGAAUUGAUGAAGACAUACGGAGUCUCUCUGAAAGACACUAUGCACCGUGGACUGACGUCACCCAGGUUUGACUAGCUCCUAACAUCUGUCCUCCGAAGGAUAUGGAAAAUGGCACCACUUCCUAAUCCAUCAUGAAAUGUGACUCAGCCACCCCAAAGGCAGCCAAGUCACAACCCUUAAAGGAGUAGAGGUUGGAUGAUGAUUCAAAAAAGAUUAGAAACAGACCCAGAAACGGCAUAAGAUCUGUUCCCUGGAGCUUGCUUACUACCCCUCCCCCAACUCCUCAGUAGAUACUCUCAUUCUCUCUCUCCUGUCUCCCUCUUCCUGCCCCUUCCCUCCCCUGCCCUCCCCUCCCCCUCCCUUACCCUCUCCCUCUUUCCUUUCUGAUUCUAGGAUCUAAAGUUUGGAGGCUACAUCUGUUGUCCAAUCUGGCAUCUUCCAGAAAGCAUGGGGUAAAUAACUAACCCUUUCUUUCAAAGGCAGAGCUUGCAGAGGAGAGCAGCCACUGCUUGCUUUUCUUUUACGGUUCUGUAGAGGCCCUGCUCAUGUCUAGAGAUGUCCAGCAUUUUCCUGCAUAGAGGACUCAGUCGGCUCCCCCUGAUCUGAUUUGAUCUACAGCUUUUGCCAUUUCCCCUCAGAGCAGAUGGCUCAAAUUGAAUGGGUGAGUUUCUGCAGGUCAGUUGAGGUCACAAUGGACUUCAGACCUCAAGUUGGGAGCUUCACUCACAAAAGUUCUAGAAAUUCUGGCUGGGAUAGCUUUGCAUUAUCUUGAUCUCUCCUCUCAUUUCAUUAGUGGAGGUAACUGGAGUUGACUAGAGUGCCACAGGUGAUUGCUGUCCUGGGCUGUUAGCUACCCCGACUUCUUCUGUCAUUAAAUUAAUUGUAGUCCAUGAGGCAAUUUUUUAAAUGGCAGGGAACAUUUAGAACCCAGAGCGAAAGGUUGGAACACUGGGGGGAGAAUUACAGACUUCAGAUAGCUCGGUCUAUUCAGGUCAAAGCCAUUACAUGACUCUUAAAAGUCAAGUGCUACUAGAACUGACUGAAGGAGCCACACGGAUGCCAGGGAGAGGCUGGAGGAGGGCAGAGCUCCAAGGGCAGUCAUGGGACCAGAAAGCAGACUGGAGCUACAACAGUGCAAGACGCUCGCAUGGUGUCGGACCAGAGGAGGCAGUGAUUUCAGAGUGUUGAUUGAUUUUGGUGUUCAUGUUGUGUACUUUGAGGUGGUUGGGAGCAUGAGGGUGGGGGGAUGGGAUGUUAAGGAUCUGGAGACCUGUGAUUCAAGGAACAGCCCGUCAGUGGAGCGUUAAUGAACAUUAAGAAAAAUGAUAACAUCAGAUCCAUGGUUCAGUUGGGAGAUUCCAACAACAACCAAGGUGCCUCGAAAUUUUUAAAUAUAUACAUGAACAAUGUGAAUCUGUGGGGUGUACGUAGCUGAUGGAAGGUUUCUAUAAUUUCUCUGUGUACCAAGCUAUUUGCCGCUACCUAACUCACACAAUUAAUCUUCUGGCAGUAAAAUCUGGGGACUGUUGGCCCAGCAUAUGCAAUAGUAUUCUGGAAGCCAGGUAGGCGGGAGGCACUCAGUUCUGAUUUCUGGCUCCUAUAGCUAGGACUAAAGAAAGUCACAAGAAAUGGAUGUUUCUCGGCUUCAGGAUCUUCCCUAAGCCCAAGCCCAGCACUGAAAAUGAAAGUGCUAGAUGCUACUGAAGGUCAAAUAAACUCUAAGAAUAAAGUUUAAUUUCUGCACUUAGGAACUCUGGGAGUGUCAAGACUCUGGCCCGUUCAUUUCAUGAUUGUUUCUUAGUUGGUAUCUGGGAGUUAGGAGAGCUGAGGGCAUUUGGGAUGGAAGGAAGGAAGGUGGUAAAUAGAUCCAUUGUAGUUGCUUUGCCUUGACAGGCUCUUCAUUCAGAUGAAAAUUGUGCUACCCAAGUUGCUAGAGUGUGUGCAGUGGGCACUUUAAGUGUGGUCAGCGUUUGGGGGGUCAUUUCUUUCUAGCAGCAGAGCAUACUUGGAGUGUAUUUGAGAAUGAAUGAGAAGAUGUGAUAGCCCCUGGUUAACUAUUUUCCUCUGUUGGGGUUUGAAGUUCUAUCAGUGAUGUAGUUUAUGGUCUUUGUAAUUCUUGAACUCGGUCCUCUAAUGGGAACCCCGUCCAAUUUGUGCAGGAAGAAUGGAUGGGCAUGCUAGGAAAAAAAAAAACAAAUGAAAAGAUGGGGGAAUCUAAUUUUUGCCAAUGCUUAGGGCUUUGGGAUGCUGCUCCAUGAAUCUGUAACUUAGUCUUGCCUACCAUGCAUGGCACAGCAGCUUAAUCAGCAUCACUUCUAUCGUGGGUUGAUUCACGGAUUCACUGGGAGACUCUGCUUUGUACUGGGCGUGGGCAGAGACGCAGCAGUGCACACCAGUAGAGAAAACAAGGGUUUAGUGUUUCUCAUGGAGGAAUCUCAUUGUGAGUAAAUGAACAGGCAAAUAAGGACGCCUCUAAUGUAGAACCAUGAGGCUGUGGGGAACAUUUUGCCUUCAACUCGAGACUGAGGGUAAUCCAUUGUUAAGUAGUUAAGUAAGUAAGAAGAGGAACUGGGUCAUCGUGAAGGUCAGGGAACCUCCUCUGAGCAUGUGCCAUUUGUGUGUAGAUCUACAGGAUGAAAUGAAGGACUGAGAAUAUGAGUGGCUGGGAGAAGCACCAGGGAAAGAGGCAAGAUCACUACUGUAUCAAUGAUGCCAAUGCACCAAAACAUGCCACAUCUCAAUGCUUGUAUUCACAGCAGAGCAGAGCAUCUAAAUGGUUAGAGCCUGUAGUCACAGCAGAACACAGCAGGCAGCCAUAAGAAUCAGUGUUUUGUUCCAACCAAACAAGGAUGGCAGCUAUGUACUGGGACCUUCUAGGAUUAUCAGUGACUCCUCAAAAUUGUCCCAGGAGUCCCCAUUAGGCCAUUAGGAAGAGGGUUCUGAGGCUCAGUUGAAUUAUUACGCCAGUGACUGGAGGUGGCAUGCAUCAGUUCCAGCAGGGUUCAUCGGUGGUGACUGGUACACAUGAGCUCACAUCACUACAAAGGCCUGGGUUUGUCAUCUUGUCACGUUCCCUGGAAUAAAAAGAGAAACGUAAACAUCUCCAGCACCAGCAUUCUUUGCCACAUGUCUGAGUCACUUCAGGGAGGUCAUCAGUCUUACUGGAACAUGGAGAUUGGGUUGUGAGUUGUAUGGAAGAAAUAUCAGAGGGAUUCAAAUAAAAUUAUAGACCUUGCAAACAGGGGACUGCUGCUGUGUUUCAUUAAGCUUAAAUUUUUCUUAACUUUAAGCUACUAUAUUUUGUGUACUAGCAAUAAAGAACAAUUCUCUUCUAAUUAGGUGACAUAGCCUGCUUUUUCUGUUAUGCAUAAUUUAAUUUCCUACUCGAAAUGUUUAACUAACAGGUAUUUUAUAUUUAUUUUGCGGGCACAUCAUGGGUAUUUGAUCCAUGCACGUAAUGUACAACUUUCAAAUCAGGGUGGAACACUUUAUUUGCAACUUAGUGAAAGGAUUAUCUGAGAUGUAUUUAGAUAAUAGAGCUGUGUUUAAAUUAUGUCAGUGUCUAGAUGGCUUGAUAACACAUACAUGUGCAUCACCAUGCACUUACAUGCAUCACCGUGUACAUCCCACAGAAAAAGAGGCAUAUGCAAAACAAAUGAAGAAUGUGUUUGCAUGGAGAGGCUGGGUUUUCCCAAUCACUUUUCAGGUCUGUUAUCCUCAUCCACUGAGGAAUGCCCUAAGGAAACCCAUGCCCACCCAGUUUCUUGUGUCUCCUCACCUUUCUAACAUAUUUUGAUGCACUAAAUUUUCUCUAUUCUAUUCUAACAGAAAAUAACACCCAGGGAAUCAGUUUUCUCCAAGCUGUCUUUAAAGGCAGUUUGGAUGAAAAGUUUUAUCGGUUGUAGCUGUCUAGAAAAGCCAUGUGAGUCAAGUUCAUGUGUGUUCAGCCAGUCCACCAUGACCCAUCAGGCCCUCAGUACUCAUGGAGCCUUAUCGAGACUCUAUGAAUCCCAAUUUAAGAUAUAUUAAAGUGUGCAAGCUCGUGUCUUCCCAUGGACUGACCAUAUGUCAAAUGUGAAGGAUAACCAGGUCCCUUUAAGAUGAUCAAGACUCCAGCUACUGGCUUCACGGCGUAUUUCUUUCUCUAACUUUUCUGUUCGUUUUCGUUUGAAAUUUUGAGGCAGGGUUUCUCUGUGUGUAGCCCUGGCUAUCCUAAAACUUGCUCUGUAGACCAGGCUGGCCUCAAACUUAGAGAUCUGCCUGCCUCUGUCUCCUGGGUGCUGGGAUAAGAGAUGUGCAUCACCCCCUGCCUGGCUAAAUGGUACAUUUCUAAAGGAGGCAUGUGGAGUGGGAUUUGAGGAAGAACCAUCCGCAGUCACGAUCUUGAUCUCAGACAUAAGACAACAGUUAUGCUUCCUGGUUCAUCUCAGAGGCAUGGUGGGCAGAAGGAAAUGGUACGUGCACAGUCUGCACCCUACUGCAGGUGCAGGCUUCUAUCUUUUGCAUGGUCUUUCUUCCUGGCUUAGGAUUUACACUGGGCAGAUUCUGAGGGAUCGUUGUGUGUAACUUUUCACUACCUUGCCUAAGCUACGUGAGCGGGUUGCACUUCUAACCCCCACCCAGCUUUCCUUGAAUCCAUGAAUAAAAGACAGACAGACAGACAGACAGACAGACACACACACACACACACACACACACACACUUGUUCAUUUUCAACUUGCCUUCUUGGCAGAAUUGCUGGGCCCUACUAUCUCCCACCUGAAAAGCACUCCCUUAUUAAUAUUCUUUGCUCUGCUCCUCUCACCUGCCCUAACUUUAGUUGCUCAGUUAAAUCUGGUUCCUGCUAACAUCCCUGACCAGGUACCUGACUGUAGGAGUGACCUGUGUAGCUACUCCAUUUCAAGAUCUCACAUGGCCGGUCAACUUUCUUCACGAAUCCUGGGGAAUGAACACAGACGAAGUGGACAGACUUCUAAACACAUGGUAUCUUUGGUGAGCCCUGUCCCCAGAGAGUCCUGUGAGGCUUUCAGAGAUUCCAAAGUCAUACUAAAAAUGAGAGACCGUCAAGACAGUAAUGUUUUAAAGAUAAGAUGGGACUUGAGAGAGUCGCUAACUUCCAUAUUGAGUGGUUGGUGAUCAUUUAAUUUUGUCGUACCUGAGGAAUUUACAGCCAUUAUGAGUGGACUUGUUAGAUUGUCUUAGCUUGAACUGUUCAGGUUAAAUUAUCAACGAGAAGCUAUAUUUAUAGAGGGUUGAGGUUGUAAAAUCAGGGCUUCUGGAGUGUUUAAUUAAAAUGACCUAUUUAAUUAUUUUUCCUUUCUUGCUCUGUUCCUUAUAUUAUCAUCUCAAAUUUAAAAAGAUUGGCUGUGUGAUUUUGUUUUAUUAGAUUCACAUUCAUUUGUCUUGAAGUCAUCCGUGUGGUUUGCAGGGGUAAUCCAUGUGGUUUGGGGGGUAACUGUCUGUGUUUGAUUGCUGUUGCCUUAACUCUACUGCUGCUUUCACCAUUCUUCUGGGUGUUUCCCCUCCACAUUAUUGGGCACGUGACAAUCCCUUCUUGGAUGCUUUAUAGGUAUUUUAAGAUAGGUUUUUGGGGGAGAGCAUUUCAUUGAAUGGAUUUCAACUAUCUAAUUAAUUCAUCAGAAAGGAGGCAGGACGAGAGAGAAGUCCCAUAGACCCAGGUGCAAUGGGAAACAAAUUAGGUUGAAUUCUUAGCAGAUCUAGAGCACACUUGGGUUAGGGGAACAGGAGGGUGUGUGUGUAUUAUGUGCACGUAUGUGUGGGAAUACUUAUACAACCUCUGUGCAGAGGACAGAGGAGAAUAUCAGGUAUCUUAUUCUGUCACUCCUCAUUUUAUUCCUUUGAGACAGGGUCUCCCACUUAACCUGGCUGAGAGUCUAUGAGCAAGAGAUCUACUGAUUUUCUUAUUUCUGCCCUCAAUAGUGCUGGAGUUAUAGGUGCAUAUAGCUGUGACUUUUUACAUGAGUGCUGGGGAUUUGAACUCAAGCCCUCACGCUUGCACACCAAAUGCUCUUACUCGACAGGCAUCUUCCCUCCCUCAUCAGUGACUUAAUACAACUAUGCAUUUAUCUUUUAUGCAUGUUAGUAAGUUGAGAUAGAAAAUCUGACUUGUAUAUUCCAACACAGACGGUUUUACAGAUAAGGACAUCCCAUGUGAGUUUUAAACUUCCUUUGAAGAAUGAUGGGAUGGAGGAGAGGAGCUCAUGGUGCUCAACUAUAAAAUAUCAACUUGUCACAACCUAAAAGUACUUGGGAAGAGAACCCGAAUGAGGAAUUGCUUCGAUCAGAUAGGCCUGUGGACAAGUCUGUGAGGGGUUAUCUUGAUUGCUUUAAUUGGUGGGAAGACACGCCCUGCAUGUAGGUGGCACCGUUUUUAGGAUGAACUCUGCAAGAGUAAAGAAAGCUAGUUGAAGAGCAGCAGGCCGGCAGUGUGACUGUGUUUAGUUUCCCCUGGUCUUCGCUGUGGGUAGGACGUGACUGGCUCUCUCAAGCUCCUGCCCCCGUAACUUCAAUGAUGGACAGUAACCUGAAACUGUAAGACACAAACCCUCACUGUUGUAAGCUGCUCUGGGGCAGGGUGUUUCAUCACAGUCACAGCAACAGUGGGGAGGGUUGGGUUUUAGUUUUCCUGAGUUUCCUUUUCUUCUCUUUCGGUCAAGAAAUAUAUUCCUCUUUAAUGUUUGAUUUUGUUUCAGUUUUCUUAUUGUGAGGGAGGGAACAACGGGUGGUUGUACUAUCACUCUCCGAACACGAAGGGACGUCUAUGCCCACAUGGGAGAGUGUUGGAGUCAGGGAUGAUUAAACUUUCUUCAAGUUCAGAUGGGAAUCCUGGGAUAUGUGUUUGCAUGUAAAACUGAAGCCAGUGAACUCCGAGGGGAGGCAUAAUCCUGGGGUUGGGGCUGGGGUCAGAGAGAUGGUUUGAAGAGGCGAGUUUGCCCAAAACCUGUCAUGAGAAUUUAAGCCAUGGAUGAUGGGAAAUUGUGGAGGGAAGGAACAGGCGUUGUGUGAACUUAUGCAAUCAGCACGAGGGCCCACACUCUGGCUGGCUCCAGACCAGCAGCUCUCUGAGGAGAACUGUCAGGAUUAAUCAGGGUUUGCGCAGAGACUGCAAAACCCAGAAACCCCGGUGAGUGCCAAGUGUUAUCAGUUUGCAUCACAACUUAGGUAUUUGGUGUCUUGGGGCGAGGAGGAGCCAUUUGCAGGAAAUCUUAGUUUUCUAGUGAUGAUCUCUUGCUCCCAGACCUCGUUUUGAUUUCCCUGGAGGUCAGUGGCUCAGGAUUCUUUGUGGUUGUUCUACUUACCUCCUUAGUGCCACAAUACCUGUGCUAUGUUCCUUUGGUCUCUGUUCGUACUCAUAAUUUCAAGUUAAAGCUAUUUUAUACAUGGAAAGAGUAAAUGGAACUGCAGGGCAGACCCUGGAAACUGUCUUAAUUGUGACCAACAGACAAAACUGUUUCCUUUAGAAGACCGCUGCCUUCCCACCUUCCCCUCAUGCAAUGCCCUGAAGAGAGUCUGGAGUCACAGAAACAUCUGCACCAAAAGCAGUCCCAUCCCGAAGUGCAGGUUCCCUUCAUCCCAGCCACUUGCCAUCAGUCCUGGGUUCAGAGCUACUUUCUCCCCGCUGUAGUAGACAGAUGCAACAUGCUGACAGAGUUUGGAGAAGCCAGGUCUAGGUGCUGGUGAGGCAAAUGGAAUGCGGCAGGUUUCUUUGUUUUAAGUGGAUGAGGAUAGAUGUACAAUAGAAAGAUAAAAAGCAAAUCAAGACCGUCUCAGUGUGUUAGAGAGCCGUACUGGACUCCCAGGCAGAGGCCAGCUCAGUCACAGCAGCUCUAAUAAUGACGGAGAUGAUGAUGGAUACUCUUUAGCCCUGAAAUGCUGUCAGUCACUGGCUGCAGAGAAAAAGCUGUCUUCCUGCUGGCGUCUACUGUCCACAUCUGGAGAAGGUAUCAGUGUCUUUUGAGCUCCUGUGUGUCUUCUAGAAUCUUUCAUUUGUUUAUGCUUUAUGCUGGUAUGGUGGUUUGGAUAGAUACGGCCCCCACAGAUUGAAUGCUUGGUUUACAAGGAGUGGAAAUAGUAGGAGGUGUGGCCUUGUUGGAGUGGGUGUGGUCUUGUUGGAGGAAGUGUGUCACCGUGGGGGGCGGGCUUUGAGGUUUCCUAAGCUCAAGCUAUGUCCAGUAUCUCUGCUGCUUGCAGAUCAAGACGUAGAACUCUCAGCUCCUUCUCUAGCACUGUGUCUGCCUAGAUGCUGCCUUGUUUCCUGCCAUGAAGGUAACGGACUAAAGCUCUGAAUCUAUAAACCACCCCCAAUUAAAUGUUUCCUUUUAUGAGUUGCUGUGGUCAUGGUCAUACAGUGGAACCCUAACUAAGACAGCUGCCCUCGUAUCUCCCUGGAUCUACUCUUCAAUCAUGUGUGUGCAUCCAUCUAUGGUGUUGCCUAAUUUGUCAACUGCACCACUUCUCCUCUCCCCUGGGGAACAUAUAAAAAUUAUAAUAAAAUGUUUGUUUCCUCCUAUGAAGUUGAAGUGUCACAGAAACUAUUCUCUGUUACCAAACCAAGUAAGCAAAUUAAAGCAAACACAGGAAAACCAAAUAACCCAGAUUUCCAAGGGUGGUGAAUUUACCUUGGGAAUUUUUAAAGACUAAUUCUUUUGUGUAGUACUUUAACAGUGAAGGUCUCCCUGGCUCAAAACUUCUAUAACAAGCAGACUUCUUUUAGUGAAAGAAAAUUUAGCCAAGAUUCAGUAUCAGUCAAGGCUAAGGGUCUGCUUCACUCUUAUUUUGAAUGGAGGAUACCAUGCUUAGGGAAGAUUCCAUGGGAAAAUUCCAAAUGUUCGCUGGCUUCUGUUCAGUCUCCUCUCAUGCCAGAUAAACCAAGCAUUCUCCUUUAUUGAAAACAGCUACUCAUACGAGAGUGAAGGGUUUGCUGUUACACUGGCCGUUCUGUGACCUUGAUCGUGACUGGUCUUGCUUUUGCUUGUGAGCAUCAUUUUGCCAGUUAGAUAUUUUUACCUUGCUGAAGGUUUUAUUCCAGCGUGUUCUUGAAACUGCAGUUGCUUUAGGGAAACCCACACCUAUUCUUGCCAUUCAUCCUUAGAUGAGCCAUCCUUUUGUUUACCACAUUGACUAUGCUCGGUUUGGGCAUGAAUUCUUUUUUUCUGGCCUGGAAAAAAAAUAUAUCAGCUAUCCAAUAUCUUAUUCAGUGCUGGCUUAUAUUAUUAUAGAUGAAAAAAAAACCACAUUAUUUUGAAAAAAUUGCCUCUAAUUAAUUUGUUUUUUAAAAUUCUGUCUUGGAAAAGAAAUUGACUCAUUUCAUGUCUAUAUCUCUUAACUCCUAUUUAUAUUCCCUUGACGAUACAGUAACAUGAAAAGUUUUACAUAUGUUUUACUGAUUGUCCUUUAGCUGGACCUAUCCAGGUUUUCCCACUUAAAAUUUUUGUGUAGUGUUAGAGAGGGAAACCUGUGCUAGACAAGUGUUUCUAAACCUCCGAACUACCUCCCAGCCCCUUUCAAUUUAAACAAGUAAGUGUCUCCGUAUGCGCUUUUAUGUGGAUAAUUCGUCCACAUGGAGAGAAACGCAGAAGGCUACAGUGUGAGAGUCUAGUGAAAUACCACCCACCUGCCCGUGCCCUAGCCUCAUGAUUCCCUUCUGCUGAGCUUUUAAUGCCUUCUGUAUAUUUCUUUCUAACGAGAACAUUUUAGUCCUUAUAUUGUUUGUCAGUGGCAUUGAGCAUGGCUGCUCACCUCUCCUUGUUUGUUGUGAUGGCACCCUCUGCACUCUCCUACUCCCCAUGUCCCCAUUCCAGUCUUUCUCCACCAUCUCUCUUUCUACUCUUCAAAUGGAUUUGGGGAAGUCUCCCUUUGAGCUUUUGAUCUAUUUUUGAAAUAUAAUUUAUUUAUUUUUAUUUGCUCAGAUGUAUGUGUGUGUGUGUGUGUGUGUGUGUGUGUGUGUGUGUGUGUGUGUGUGUGUGUGUGAGGAUGUUGGAUCCCCUAGAACUGGAGUUACAGACAGUUGUAAUCUGUCAUGUGGGUGCUGGGAAUUGAACCCUCGUUCUUUGGAAGAGCAGCUAGUGCUCUUAAUCACUGAAGCAUCUCUCCAGCUCCAUUUUUUCUUUCUUUUUUAUUGGUUAUUUUAUUUAUUUACACUUUAAUUGUUAUCCCCCUUCCUGGUUUCUCCUCCACAAACCCCUAUCCUUUAACCUCUCACCUCUGCUUCUAUGAGGAUGCUCUUCAAUCCACCCACAUACUCCUGCCUCACUGCUCUAGCAUUCCCCUACACUGGGGCACUGAGCCUUCACAGGACCAAAUACCUCCCCUCCCAUUGAUGCUAGAUAAGGCCUAUCCUCUGCUACAUAUGCAGCUGGAGCCAUGAGUCUCUCCAUGUAUACUCUUUGGUUGGUGGUUUAGUCCCUGGGAGCUUUGGGAGGUGUCUGGCUGGUUGAUAUUGUAGUUCUUCCUAUGGGCUUGCAAACCCCUUCAGUUCCUUCAGUCUUCCCCUUACUCUUCUAUUGAGAUCCCUGUGCUCAGUCUGAUGGUUGGCUGUGAGCAUCUGCAUCUGUAUUGGCCAGGCUCUGGCAGAGCCUCUUAGGGGACAGCUGUAUCAGGCUCCUGUCAGCAAGUGCUUGUUGGCAUCAGCAAUAGUGUUGGGGUUUGGUGUCUACAGAUGGGAUGGAUCCCUAGGUGGGGCAGUCUCUGGAUGGCCUUUCCUUCAGCUGUCCUCCACCUUUUGCCCCUACAUUUCCUUUAGACAGGAGCAAUUCUGGGUUAAUAUUUUUGAGAUGAGUGAGAUUUUUCUGGUGAACCUGGCUGUCCUGGAACUCUUUCUGUAGACCAGGCUAGCCUCAAACUCACAGAGAUAUGCCUGUCUCUACCUCUGCAGCACUGGGAUGGAAAGCAGGCACCAGCACUACCCAGUGCUUUUGGUCUGUUUAAAAAAGGGAUUUAUUUUAAUGUGGUGUGUGUGUGUGUGUGUGUGUGUGUGUGUUGUGCAAGGCCUCAGAGACUCGAAUUGGUUAUCAGGUCCCUGGAACUGGAGUUACAGGUUGUUGUUAGUGGUUCUAUGGAGUGCUGGGAACUGAACUUGGGUCCUUCAAAGAGCAGCAGGAUCCCUUAGCUGCUGAGUCAUCUUUCUAGACUUUUUAGACCUUAUUCUCCAUUUUAUCCACAUUUACUCCCUUGGUGUACUAAUGUAAGCUUAUGGAUUUUAGACACCAUCUCCAGAUUAGUAACAGUCAAAUUUUUGUCUCUUGCUUAAAUCCCAACUCGGUCCCCACUCCACCUUGUGUAACCAGUCACCUGCCUGGCUCUGCCACUUGCUUCUCCUGUAGACCUCAGAGAUAAGGUGCUCAAACCAGAACUCUGUGUUUUCUUUCACAAACUUGCUCUCUUUGUAUCUUUCUAGAUCUCAAGUGAAAGCAAUUUCAUCCUUCUUACUGUUCUAGAUGAAAUCCCCACAUCCCUGCCUUGGACCGAUUUCAUCUUGGCUGAAAGUUGCAUCGUUAGGUUUUUCCCUUGAUUUCUCUGAUUUUUAUUAAUUUUGUGUUCACUAAUAAGUAGUUUGUAGUUGGUUCAUCUAGGUACUUUAUAGCUUUUUCUUUUCUAGCUGGAGCGUCAGUCUUCUUGGCUUUUUAGUUCUGUAGAGAGCUCAGUGCCAGAUUCUAGGUGGAGUUACUUGAAACUGAAGAGAUAGCGUGGGAACUCAACUAGGAGAAAAUAUGUGCUAAUCAUCUGGGGACCACCAACGCAGUCUGUUCUAUUUCUACCCCUAUUAAAUCUCUACUUGCCUAUCAUAGAAUACCUGACACUGUCAGAGACAUGGGCCAAAGGAGACCCCUAUUUCCUGCUCUGUGAAACUGUGUUCUUUUUAUACUUUCUAAUGUGAAGCCUUCAGAUUUCCCCACUCUCUGGUUAUGCUUUUUGUCACAGUCAGACUUUUAUCCUUGCAAAAGAUGACUGUAAGUAACUUGUGGAGAAGAAAAACAUUAUUUAGGCUUAUAAUCUUGGACAUUUCAACCCAUCUACCAUGGUUUCCAUUGCUUUGGGGCCUAACAUUACUCCAUGAGAGGGAAGACACAGCUUGGCCAAGCUGGGAUGAAAAAGAAGUGGGCAGGCUUUUCUUAACCUUUCCAUGGGUACCCAUGUGACCUUUCCAGGGAUACCCAUGUGACCUGAGGGCUUUUCAUUAGGCAUCAAAUCUUAAAGGAUCCAUUCUGCUGGGACUCAGCCUUUAACACACCAGUCUGGAGGACAUUUAAAACCAAACUCUAGUCCUCUGUUUCUCCUUUUUCUUCUAUUUUAAUUUCUAAGCAGCUGUAAACUCCAAAUCAGAAUAAUAAAGAUGGAUCAUAAUUAACUUUCCAAUUUCAGCUCUGCUUCAUUGCACUUGAAAUGAUAUAGUCUAAAUUGAUACUUUAAUUAGGAUAACAUCGAGUUCAUUUUUAUAUCCAUGCUGAUGCUUGAAUAUAAAUGGUUUGAAACUCCCCCCUGCUAUCUGUACUUGUAGAGAAUUGCUUUGGAAAUAGACUUUAGGUAUGGGGUCCUGCCUGCAGUCUUUCUGGUAUUAGGCGAUUAAAGGCAUCAGAACCUUGCCGGAUACUUUUGGUUGUGAUUUCUGACUCUCCUGUUGAGGUCAGACAAUGGAGAUGUUGGUUAUUCUAGGGAGUUUAAGCCAUGACUGGGUUAUUUCCUGACAGUCUAGUUGUAGUUCCCAGAGUAAUUAUUUCUACAGCAGUACUAUGUGGCAUAGACGUGGUAUAGUAUUCAAUCCUCCCGAGGUUCAGAGGCAGAGGCUUGGGGAUUGUCGGGUGUUCAGGCAGAGCCAGGCAGGAGCAAUUUAGCUCCGUUUGCCUCCCCCAGAGCAGUUUCAUUUAUAUUGGGGUUGCACAGAAGAUUUGGUUUGACAGGGGUCUUCCAUAUUUUUUUGUCAAUUAAUUAGUUAGGCUUUCCUAAAGGAUCAUAAAGAGGGCAGGUCAUUGAAAACAUCUUAGUAGAAAUGAAAGUCAGCUCCAGUUGGCUGAUUAGAAUGUUACUUACUUGGGGGUUGACUGUGUCAGCCAGCGUGAAGGCUUUUAUAGUUACUCUGAGAGAGUAUGAACACCCUAGCCUCUAGGGUAUUCUGAUAGCACAAUUCUGAUAUUCCCCAAUGUCUGUAUAUGACCAUUCACAGUGGGACAUCUCCAGGAUACAAAGGGUAAUUAAUCCCAGUAAAGUAAGUGUAACGAUGCGUGUCAUCAGCUAGGAUUGUGGGCUCCAUGAGUCUUGACUCAGAUCUCAGUUUCUCUUGACCAUAAAGACUUGGUGUGAGGAUUAGAAGAAACAAUCCCCAGGAGAUGUAGCUGCUCAAUAAAUGAUCUCUUUCCUUCUCUACUGAUUUUCUCUGUUUCAUAGAUCCCAGUUACUGACAUUCUCAAGUUUCAACCUUGGAAACCUCCCAGUAUUUAUUGAUAGACAUUUUUGAGCAUAAACUUACACUAUAUUUCCUACUAGACUCUAAAUGCCUCAAAGCCAAGCAUAUUCUGACUUCACCCUGGUAUCUGAAACACCUAUUAGUCUUUGUCUAAACUCAUAUACUUUUCAAACAUAAAAAGACCCAUGAAGACAGCAAUAUAUUUGACUAUUACAUUUCCAGAACCCUGAACUUUUUUUAUCUCUUUGCAAAAUUCUGGGAUGUUUCUGACUCUAUUAGGAGUAGAGAAAUGAAAAAAGCACAAGAAAGACAUUUUCCUCACUCCAGUAAGUCUAUGGGAGAUGUGGUUAAACAUCCCUCUGGAGAAGGUUGUCAGUGGGUUGCUGGAACAUUCUAAUACUUAAUGAUUUUCAUCUGCAAGCCAUUUCUGGACAUUCUUCUCCAUGUGGUGAGGGCUGAGCUAAAGUUGACACUGUGUCAACAAAGUUUAAAAGUUUGGAGGGAAACCAAGGAGAGGUUUUCUUGGAGAAAUGAAAAAAAAAAAAAGUGGAGACCUAGGAGUGUGUGGCCUUUCAGCCAGUCUAAGGAAUAUUCAUGUAAUCUGUUAGGCACAGCCUCACGUAUGUUCUAAAUGAUGUGAUCAUCUAGAUAAAAUAGGAAGUUUCAUCCAAAUAUGUGUUUAGAUGAAUUUCAGUGAACCUCAUGACUAGCAACACAUUUUGUACAUCAUCUGAAAGAAAACCUCUCAGUGGUCUGGUGAAUACACUAUUCCUCACAACCUCUUAGGAACUUGCACAGCAUUGAGUCAAUACAGCAUUGAGCUUUCAUAAUGCCUGAUACUUAGGGACUGAGAAACAGGAAAAUGUCUCUAGGGCCCAAUGGGCUGGUCCUACUUCCUCUGCCUGUGUUGUGAGGAAGUGGGCUCAGUGGUUGGGAUCUGACUUAUCUUGGGCACUGGGCACUGGGCUGAGAGGGGAAGACAAAAGAAGACUGAGGCAGAGAUUCCAGGGAUGUUCCUGUGUGGCAUCCUGAGCCCAGGAACAGUAUUUCCAGAAUGUGUUGGGCUUGGUUUAUUUUCUGUAGUAGUUGGGAGCAGAGAGGUGGGAGAGUAAAUCAAUCAUCCAUGCUGGGCAAACACUAUCACAGAGCUACAUCCCCAGUCCACUUCGUCUUUUUAAAACAGUUUGAGAUAGGAUUCCUUUGAUUUUCAGAUCGUGCUUAUUGGCAUUGAAGAUUCUCGAAGAGACAGGCUCUGGGGAAAUUCCUGCUGCUAUAGCAGAAUAUCCAAGACCAUUAACUUACAAAGGGGAUGAUUUUACCUCACAUUUUUUAAAAAAAGAUUUGUUUAUUUAGUAUAUAUAAGUACACUGUCGCUGUCUUCAGAUACACCAGAAGAGGGCAUCAGAUCCUAUUACAGAGGGUUGUGAGCCACCAUGUGGUUGCUGGGAUUUGAACCCAGGACCUCUGGAAGAGCAGUGAGUGCUCUUAGCCGCUGAGCCAUCUCUCCAUCUGUGCUUGGUUGGUCCCAUCGUUUUUGGGCCUGUAGUGAGACAGCACGCUCUGGAAAGAGUGUGUGAGAGAAGAAUAUUCCCACUUCCCAAUGAGUCAGGAAAGAAAAAACAAACAACAAGAAGAAGAAGAACAACAAGACGGUGACAACAACACCACCACCAACAAAAAGGAAGUAAGGAAGCAAGGUCACAUAAUACCAAGGAGUUUCCCACAAGACUCCAAGUCCCACCCUCAGGAUCAAGUCUUUAGUACGUAGUUCUUUGGUUAAUUAUUGAAACUAUAGGAGGUGCAUCCAGCCAACAUGUAGAUGAUAUUAGCUUUUAGGCAGAAGCUUACUCAUUUUCUGUGGGGUUUACUCCUUUCCUGUUCAUGCUCCUCCUCUAAGAUGAAAUGACAAGAUUUAAAGGAACGACUUGUUUCUGGUGUCUGUGAGGUCUUGCUCUUGACUAGUGGUUCUGAGAACUCUUACAGGUAUGAGCUCAUGGACCACCCGAGAAAGCCUGGCCCCGUAGUAACAAGGGCUGACUCCAACCCAGUUGGGGUGGAUCGGAACAUCUGAUCUGGGUUUUGCGGGGAGGUGGAGGGGGAGUUGUGACCUUGACCUCAUAGCCCAUUCUUCUCUAUCAACUUUAAAAUAUGAAUCUAUUUCAGUAGGGUUGCAGUGAUGAGGGGCUCCUUUGGAUUUGUAAAUUCCCUCCUACAGGGACAAAGCCCCAUCUUCUGGAGAAUCGACAUGACCAGGGUCAGUGAUAACGCAGGCCGAGCGAAUUACACACAGACCUAGGUAGGAGAGUGUGGGACAAAUGGAAGUCAGCUCCAUCCUAUGUUAAAAAUGUUAAAGGGAGAAUAGACUUGUCAGUAUCCAGGCAGGAAAAGUGAGUGUUCCAGAGAAACAUUCUGUUGAUUUGCCAGGGCUCCAAAGCUGGGCCAGAGCCCUGGGGAGUCUCUUGAGCAUCUAGAUUCUAGUCACACAAGGACCGCCUGAAACAUGGUGUCCAGACGGAAUAGAAAGAAACAGACAAGAAUAUAAAGAUUUCAGAAUGCCUCUUUUCGGGAAGAGCCAAAAGCAAUGGUACAGGAUGGACGCGCUCCUCAAAAGCAGAAGCGAGAGACAGCUCCAUUGUUAGAAGUAGCACAGAGGGCUGGAGGGACGGCUCUGCGGUUAAAGCACCCGGCAGCGGUACAGAUGUGAGGACCAGAGUUCGGAUCCCCCAAGACCUACAUAAAUGCUGGUUGGGUGUGGGGGUCCUCUCUGUCAUUCUAGACUCUGAGGACAGCGAUUGGAGAUUCCCAGAGCAAGCUGAUUAGAAAGGCUAGACCUAUCAGUGAACUCUGGGUUUGAUUGAGAAACCCUGCCUCAUUGAAUAAGGUAGAAGAGACACUGGGGACAUUGCCUGAUAUCAACCUUGGGCUUCUACGUGUACAGGUGCACAUAUGUUCAGUGCACCCCCAUACAUGCAAAUACACACAUAUCACACAUGUGUGAUGAAAAAUGGAAAAAGAGACAAAACGAUGUAGUAGUACAAUAGUUCCUCCUAGUUGAAAAAAAAAGUGAGAAUACUUAGGUUGAUGUAUUAUAGAGUUGUAUUCUGCUGUGACUUACAACAGAAGACUCAAAAGUGAAGUCAGCAAAAGGAAGAAAUGCCUUGGGAAGGCCAGACACAGUAAGCGUGCAUUUUUGAGUCCUCUCCCCGGGGAGCCACCGAGGACAUGCUCAACUUCCCAGACGCGACACUGGGAAAACGCUUGUGAUGCUUGCUUAUGAAGGCAUUCGUUAGAGACUUGGCGUUCAGGGGUUUUGUUGGGAGUUAAGGACACCUUCCCAAGCACAGAUCAAGACUGCAGACUUCCAGAGGGAAGGCAGGUGCCCCGAAGAAGUCCUUCUGCUAAACACUUCAGGUACAGUGAACCAUGCUUGUCAUGUAGGGCUGUGUGAACAAAUUCCCAGAUACCAUUUGAAGACUGACAUUUACCAAAAAGUACUGUCAGAAGUUAUUUCAUUCAUUCAUUCACUCAUUCAUUCAUUCAUUGAUUAUGUUUAUGUGUAUCCAUGUGUGCCUGCAUGAGUUUAUGUGUACCAUGUAUGCUCAGGAGUUCAUAAGAGGGUGUCAGAUUCCCUGCAACGAGAGGUACACAUGGUUGUGAGCUGUCCAACAAGGGUGCUAGGAACCUAAUCCGGGUCCUCUGUGAGAGCAAUGAGUGCUCCUAACUGCUGCCUUAGUUAGGGUUACUGUUGCUAUGAUGAACCACCAGGACCAAGAGCAAGUUGCAGGGGAAAAGAUUUAUUUGGGAAAAGACUUCCACAUCAUGGUCCAUCCCUACAGGAAAUGGGGACAGGAACACAUACAGAGGAGGAACCUGGAAGCAGGAGCUGAUGCAGAGGCCAUGGAGGGGUGCUGCUUACUGGCUUUGCCCUCAUGGCUUGCUCAGCCUGCUCUCUUCUAGAACUCAGGAGCACCAGCCCAGGGCUGGCACCACCCACAAUAGGCUGGGCCCUCUGCCAUCAAUUAAGAAAAUACCUUCCAGGUUUGCUUACCGUAUGACCUCAUGGAGAUAUUCUUUUUCAGUUGAGGUUUCCUCCUCUCAGAUGACUUUAGCUUGUGUCAGGUUGACAUAAAACUAACCAGCUCAGCUGCUGAGCCAUCCCUCCAGGCCCUGAAAAUGGACUUUGUAAGAAAACCGGUGUGUCCCCUUGUCUACGUAGCUGCCCUGACUGAUGGGAAGAUAAACUUAGAAGAAAUGCUGAAGCUAUGGGACUUUUGUUCAGUUUGUGUCUCUCUCGAGGGGACAGAUGUGAUCAAUUUUGGAUGACAGCAGCUCACCUCCAUGAGAAUGCCAGGUCUGAGAUCUCUGUCUUCAGUUCUGCUCUCCACCCCUGUGCCUGGGCAUUGAACCCAACUGAGCAACGGAGUGUAGCUUUUCUGACAGUUUAGGAGCCUGUGACACAUUUCUUAGCUGUUGGGAUGGGGCGAUGACUCAGAACCCAGGCAAAAGUCAAGUGGGUAUGGAGGACCACUAGUAAUUCUAGUCUCAGGGGUAGAGACGGGAUCCCCAGAGUAAGCCAGUUAUGAAGACUAGCUGUAUCGCUAUGAACACACACAAAACCACAUACAGGGACACAUGAUAUCAUAUGCACAUAUGUGGGAAAUGGAAAAGAAUCCUUCUGGGGUAACAUUUGCAAAUAAUGUGGCCUAGUAGCCAAAGGCAGUGCUCCUAUGAGACUCUUGGAACAUGUAGACAUUCCACAGCUACACUGAAGUCGUGCACAUAGGGCUCUUCUUUGUGUGGGGGUGUGGGUGUGGGUAUUAGUGUUACACGUCCGGAUGUUGUCACUGACUUUGUUUCUGUGGAGAUUCUGAAUGUGGUAUAUAAUGUGUGUAGUCAGCCCUAAUCUUUCUAAAUUCCACACUUCUGGCCUCAGAAACAGCUGGAUGAGGUUUAUUCCUGUCUGGAGAAAUUAACAAAUCUAAUCUGAAGUGGGACUGGAAAUAGAUGCGUAAAAUCCGAUGCUCCAGAUGAGAAAGCCCUUACUAGGUCAUUUAGUCCGCAGCUGGGUUUUUCUCGGCACAGCUUCCUGUGUUCCAACAGAGCCAGACUCAGGUUCCCGUGACUGGAGAUGCUCUGCUUCCGGCGAAUACAGCUGGGCGUUUCACGGAGAGAACCCCUCUCCUGGGGGCUCUUCAGAUAGUCUGUGAGAAGGGAACCUUGUAGUCAGGAGGAAGAAUUAGGAGGGAAAGAUUCAGGGCAAGGACCUCUGGGAAGAGAAUGCUGGAGACACACGGCAAACAGGGGCACAGUAGGUGCAAAUGCAGUGAGGUGGGCCGAGUAAAGACCCAGGUUGCUGAGUACUGAGCAGGAAGGAUGCUACAGAGGGAAGCGGUGAAUGAAUAAAGCUUCAUCCCGAUUGUGAGUUCAUUUGUAUUGUGAAUAGAUUUAAUGGGAAACUCUAACUGUGAGUUUAAGAGUAACGCUGGACCUCCACCUCCCUAUCUUUUACACUGGUGCAUGAUAAAAAUCCAACUUUAUGACCGAGCUAUGGCUUGAGUGUAUUACCUAGAGCCUGUGUGCUGGCGUUAACCCCAAAGAUGCAAGGAGAAAAACUCUGACCCAAAUCAUCCUGGCCAAAUUAAUCAAAGCAAACCUUUUUGUUGGUGUACACGGACAGGGGCUGCUUCCUCCUGAGGUGUCAUUCAAGAGGUCAGCCUUGAAAUCAAACGAUAAAAGUCUUUAUAGCUCAUGGGUAGAGGUUUUCCAAAUGGAGGAUUUGGCAGGUCAAUGGGCAGGGUUAUAGAGACAGAACGUAAUAAGGUGGUCACAGCGAGGUCGUCAUAGCAAGGUAGUCAUAAUAACCCUUUGAAACAAAGGUAAGGUUGCAAUAUGGUCAUAACGACUUUCUGAAUCAAAGACAUGGUUGCCGUUUCCUGGAGCAUGGGAUACAGAACCAUUUGUAGUUAAGGUUACAGGUGGGCCUAGCCCAAUCUGUGAGAAACAGGGGUUUCCUCAUAAACAGGAAUGAGCCUAGUUUGUCUUUUUCAUAAGAUGGAGGCAGGUUAGUUCAUCGUUGGGAACAGAGUCUUCAGUGCAUCGCUGUGGAGAGCCGGGCCCUUCAGGCAUCGAUUAACUCAUAGGAGCUCUGAUCUAUGAAUGAGUUCAUGUCUCCAUCAUGGGAACGGUCUUGUUGUGAGAGGACUGGCUGUCAAUCAAAGGACUUUGACCUUCUCUUGUCUUGAUGCCUACCUUGAAUCUUCUGGUAUGGAAUAAUGAAAACAAAGCAAAGCAAACAAACAAACAAGAAAACAGAAACAACAACAAAAGCACUUAUCACAUGCCAAGCCCCCUAACUUGGACUUUUCUGGCUUCUGGAGCUUGGGGACAUAUAUCUUUGUUUUUCUAUAGAUGACCUACUCUUGGUAUUCUGUUAUAACAGCAGAAAUCAGAUGCACAGACCAAGGCAGUUGUAUUUCAUCUAAUGUUUUUCACCCACCUGGCAGUGAACAAUAUAUUUUUCUCUCCCAAAGGGUAGGAUCACCAGAUCUGAGCUGGCUAAUGAGAGACUAGUGGUUAGACAGACUCCUUGGCAGACAGACAGACAGAGAGAGUCAGAUAGACAGACAGACAGGGAAUGUGGCUAGUUAAUAGAGAUGAACUUCCAAGAUUGCUGGGUUUUCCCUCGCCCUCAUGAACUGAGAAGAACCAGGAAUCUUAAAGGCCUUGUAGGCUUUUGUCUCCCCCACCAAUCAGCUCCCUGCUGAUGGACUGGAUCAAGAAGCUCAAGGCUGGACCAGGACGUACUAAACAUCAGUUGUGGGCCAACCAUCCUGUCUCUGUUCAAAUGGCCCAACCCUAAAUUAGGGGAGUAAAACUCUCCAGAAAUUUAAAAAACCUCAGACCUUGAAAAGAGAUUGAGAGAUUGUUUUAAGCUUCUCAAGUCCCCAUCAUCUGCUGCUUCACAUGGGGUCUUUUCUCUGUCUGCUGCAUGAGUUUGUCCCCCAUCUCCCAUAAAUGCAUUUCCUCAAAGGUGUUUCUGUCUGCUGCUAUCUGUGGUAUUUGGGAUUUCCCUCAUGCUACCUGUUGUGCCUAAGAUAUUUCCUCCUUUGUAGUGCUGAUAGAGAAAAAAACAGACCAAGACGGCACCACUAACACUCUUAGUCACCUACUCUCUCUAGUGUGUUUUCCUGAGAUAGAAAGCUGAGCUUUCUACAAUAGAAGAAGUGUGUCUAUCCACGUCAUUAUACAUGAUACCGGCCCAACACUUCAGUAUGUAAAGGAGAAGUACACACAAUUGACAGAUUUCCUGAGGCCCACAGGAGGCCGGCAGCUACGGUUCAAGUCUGCUCCCACCUAUCAUCACCCUUCCUCCUCCAGCUUGCUGCUGCAAGAGCUGCUGGAUGGGAAAACUGCCCAGGACCAGCUUACAGAGCAUUUCCUUACCCACCAUGCUUUGUACCUGGGUAGAGAAGACAAGCCCUGCCCCCUUGAGUGACAGAUGGGGAGGAGCAGGGGCUGCAUCCGGCUCUGACUCUUUCCUGGCUCCCUUUUCUUUGCUUCGUACUCCUCAUGAGAAUCUCCAAUGCGCUUCUUUUCACCAGCGUGAUGUUCUGCCCACCUAUAGGAGCCAAGCCACUAUCGAGGGACCCUCUGAAACUUCGAACCAACCUUUCCUCUUGUAAGAUGUUCUCUCUCAUCACGGCUAUGCAAAAGUAACUAGUUUCCCUCCCAAAUCAUUGUGGUUGGGUUUAUACUGACCUCUCCUGUUCAGCCUCCUGGAUCUAUUUUUCAUGAAAACAUACGUGUGGGAACCAAAGUCAGUCCCUCUGAAAGAGUGGUGUGUGCUCUUAACCGCUAAACCAUCUAACUCUCUGGCCCCUAGAUAUUUAUUUUAAAAACUCAUUGAACAAGUAAAGUAUAAUACUUUAUUUAUCUAAGGAAGGGAUGUGAAACCACCAAAGGAAGAGACACUGAGAUUAUCAAAAAGACUUAUCCGAGAUGGAAAUUACUAAAGCAGAUCUGAACUAGUCAGUGAGAUUUUGGAAGGCAAAGGGAGAAACUGUUACAGAGUUCCAGAAAAUAGAAUUAAGACAGAAAGGAUAAAGACAGUGUAAAAAAAAAAUAGAGGGCUAGGCUAGAGGAAUCAACUUUUUAAAGAGAGCUCAAAGAGAGGAGAUUGAAGAAAUUAUCCAAGAAGCAAUUCAAGAACUUUUCCUAGAAUUGAUGAGUGUGAAGUUUCCAGAUACGUCCUCUGAGUGCCCAGUGUGAUGGUCUAACAGAAGCCAAGGCAGUGCACACUGAUGGACAUUUCAGGGUACUGUGGGGAAAGAGUAGGCUUUCUGGCCUUCAGCGGGAGAAGCAGGGCUACAGGGUGGGAUGAGGACCUAGAGGGCCUUUGGUUUCUCAAUAGCAGCAGUGGAAGCUGGAAGACAAAGGGGGGGAGGGUGGCCUCUGCACUCCAUGACACCCAGCUGUGAUUUAUAGGAACCAAGAGUGAGGCUUGCCCAGAGCAUUGCAGGCAGGUACAGCACACGUGUUACUUCUGCUGAUACUCCUACUCUCCAGGAUUUAGGAAGCAAAAUGAGAGUAUAUGCACAAGCUACACACGAACUACACACACACACACACACACACACACACACACACGAGAGAGAGAGAGAGAGAGAGAGAGAGAGAAACACAGAUAGAGACAGAGAGAAUGAGACAGAGAGAAUGAGACAGAGAGAAUGAGACAGAGAGAAUGAGACAGAGAGACAGAGACAGAGACAGAGACAUACACAGAAAAAUAGGGUCCAGGAAGCCAGAAAUUCAAAGUUGGCUGGAGGUGAAGAAUCUCACUGGGCUGUAAGCUCUCUGUUCCCGGCAGACCUGGAAACCAGGUAUAAAUGAAGCGGGGUGAGAUAGGUUCUGAGAGGCAAUGCCUGUGAGAAAGUUAGCCUCCUGGAAAAGCUGAUGGGCUUGGAUGACUGCGGGCAGGCUUGGACUGUCGGCAGAGAAUUUGGAAAUAAAUUGGUACUGAGUGUUUAACAGGUGUGUUAAUGUCCCCUGCAAUAUGAGAAAUCACAUGAUGACUGCUAACUAUGUCUCUUCUUACAUUUCCAGAGGCCACAAGUUGAAAAGAAGUUUUUUUGAUUGCCCUCAGAGUCCUUGCAGGCCUCGCCUCCUCCAGAGGCUUUAGGGCAGUGUUGCUCUCACUGUUCCUAAGGCUGUGACCCUCUAAUACAGUGCCUUAGGUUGUGGUGACCCCCCGCCAUCAAAUUAUUUUCACAGCUACUUCAUAACUGUAAUUUUGCCACUGUAUGAAUUAUAAUGUGAGUAUCUGUGUUUUCUGAUUGUCGUAGGUAACCCCUGUGAAAGGGUCAUUCUACCUCCAAAGGGGUCAUGACCCACAGGGUGAGAACUGCUAUUCUACCGGAAAGUUCCUCUUCCUCCCUGUUCUGUUCUCUACAGCACAGUCCUCCUGGUCUCUGGCUCAAGGAACCUUACCCAGCUUCAGAGCUCCAGGCAACGCCAUGAGGCCUCCUGUUCUCAACAAUGGAAUCUGCCCCAUACAGGAGAACUGGUGAAGACGUUAGGGCCUGACCCGAUGGCCAAGGACACUGUCUGACCUGGUCUGAAUGCAGCACCCUUCCCAAAUUCACACAUCAACAUUACAUCAUUAAUGUGCUGGGAUGAACAGGUGGAGCUUGAGGAAGCUGAAGAUGAGACUCAGGGACAACUCUCAGCAAAUGAGGUCGUGACCUCUUGUCUUCUUGCCAGAUGAGGAUCCAGCGCUCACCUCUUCUUGGAGAAGCAGCAGUUAAGCAGACUGCAGUGUGCCCGAGGGGCCAGGCUUUGAAUGAGCAGUCCUUCAAGUGUGCCUGACCGACAGCAAGCAUCGGGAAGCUAUUGAACGGGUACAUCUAGUCUCCAGAUGAGAACAAGAUGAACACAGAAGGCAGGUAGGAGGGGGCAGCGUGAUGGAGGAGGAAGAUUGGAGUUCAACCAUGAGUCCCCCCAUAGUCAAGCACCAGGGCAUUCACGGAAGGGUGGCCUGUAUCUUACACAGUUGACCACAAGCUGCUCUCUGACGAACUCAGCAGCAAGCUCACUAUGUCCCUUCCAGAAUAAUCUCUGAGGUUAAGAGAAAGGUGUGUCAACAGGAAGUCAUGCUGAACUUAAAAACCAUCUGCUUUGGUCUUUUCUGCUCACAGCCCAGAUACCGGACACACAGCCAAGACUGAAACAGCAGUGACUGGCCAAAGCCAUUGGUUGUCUUAAUGACUGCUUUCGGUCAUUAAGAUGCCUGGAUUGGAUUUAUCGCCAACGAGCGGAUCGAUUACUUGGUGCUCAUCUGCAAUCUAAGCCUUUCUGUGUCUCCACUUCGGUUAUUUCAUUAAGAUGGAUGGGCUGGUGAUGCCACACCCCCUGGGAAGCUGGGCUGGAGAGCUCUGCCUGAAUGGAGCAUUAGAGAGAGAAAAAUAAACCGGGCCUAGGGAAGGAAGAAGGGCCGCGCGGUACGAGGCUCUUAGUUCACAUCCGGUGGUGCUGGGUGAGCCACUCAGCCUGCAGCUGCUGGUGAUAGCUCAUGCUGAGGGUCGCAUGGUCUUUCAGGGGGGUUGUCUACGUUUGCUGAGUGUGGAUGCAGCUUUGUGGAGGUUUUUAGGACUCUAUUUUCCAGUCUUGGAGUGUCUUCCUGUGCCAAAAUCUGUCUUUGUUCUAGCAUGGAUCUCUGUCAUGUUCUGGAAGGGUCAUCCUGCCACGACAGACUUUUCUGGGGAAACUAAACGUCCUCAUGUCCGUUGUUUGUGCUUCUUGAAGCAGCUACAAUAAAAUAAAAGCACAGAA